This 200-nucleotide ribosomal RNA is filed under the name uncultured bacterium. RNAcentral's name for it is "partial 16S ribosomal RNA". It matches the Rfam family "Bacterial small subunit ribosomal RNA", at positions 335 to 526 of the family's 1533-position model. The record is from RNAcentral.
ACUCCUACGGGAGGCAGCAGUGGGGAAUUUUGGACAAUGGGGGCAACCCUGAUCCAGCAAUGCCGCGUGUGCGAAGAAGGCCUUCGGGUUGUAAAGCACUUUUGUCAGGGAAGAAAUCUUUCGGGCUAAUACCCCUGGAAGGAUGACGGUACCUGAAGAAUAAGCACCGGCUAACUACGUGCCAGCAGCCGCGGUAAUAC